GGGUGUGUAUCUCAGUGGUAGAUGGCAUGCCUUGCAUGCAUGAGGUCCUGGGUUCAGUCCCUGGCACCUCCA
RNAcentral lists this transfer RNA (72 nucleotides) under Heterocephalus glaber (naked mole-rat). It matches the Rfam family "tRNA". Rfam says of the family: Transfer RNA (tRNA) molecules are approximately 80 nucleotides in length. Their secondary structure includes four short double-helical elements and three loops (D, anti-codon, and T loops). The record is from Rfam by way of RNAcentral. Lineage: Eukaryota; Metazoa; Chordata; Mammalia; Rodentia; Bathyergidae.